This is a non-coding RNA of Paramuricea clavata, 300 nucleotides long. The record is from the annotation of a GenBank genome assembly. Lineage: Eukaryota; Metazoa; Cnidaria; Anthozoa; Malacalcyonacea; Plexauridae.
CUUUAAAGAAAAAUGUUAAUGUCAGCUGACAAUUGAUUUGAACACUCUUCAACAUUAUACAUACAAAGCAGUUAAACAGGACAUACAGCAGUGUAUGGGCUUAAAAACCGCGAAGAUCAGUGGUAGGCUUGGGUAAAUUACGCUCGAAAAUAUGGCUAUCAUGCCCGAAGGCAGUGCUCGUUAAAACAAUGUGUUAUGCUCGUGAAACAGUCUGUUAUGCUCGAAUUAUGCUCGAGGAAAAUUCAAGUUUUAAUACACAGAAAGUCAAAAAGUGUAAAGGUACAGAAAGUUAAAAAGUGG